UGGAUCAUCUCCCACGAGUCCACUUCCUGUUCGAGUGGUGACGUACGAAACGCAAAUCUGACCAAAAGCGCCCCCUGUGGCCAAAAGUGGAAACAGCCGUUAUCUGCAAAGCUGCAGGAAAUUUUUACUUUGACUUUAAUUGUCGCAAGUGACCCUUGAGGGUCUUUGCCUGUCCAACAACGUCUGAGAGGGAAUUUCUAGUUCCAGAAACAAGAGUUGUUUCUAGCCUAACUGUUGCUGGAAUUCUUUUGGAGUGAGGUAAACUGUUUAUUUUUAGGAUGUCGGGCAGUCAAAGUUGGUCAAGCAAAGUGAAAGUGGUCACUAAAAUGCUUAAUUUAAGUUAGAGUUAAAAAAAAAAACAGGUAAUAUUAUUACUCAAAUACUGGUUAACUGUUCAGUAAAUAUGUAUCCUAUUCACUUUUUAGAACUAUUUUAUUUUAUUGUUUUUUAUUUUAUGUUAUCGUAUUUUAUUUUAUAAAGCUGUUCAUAAAAAAUGAGGUUUUUUAAUAAACUACACAAAAAGUUCAGAUAAAAAAGUAAAUAUAAAUGUAUUUACAUUUUUUGAGAUAGAUAUUUUCCAUCUCUGCUCAUUUAAUGGAACCAAGCAAAGGAAAACAAAUGAUGUGAAAAUUAUGGUAUAUGGAAAUAUUUAAAUUAAAUGUGUUAAUCUUAAAAAAAAUAAAUAAAUAACAUGACCUUUGUUAAAGUAUUUUUGGCAGCUACAAGGGUUUGCUGAUGUUUAAUUGUACAUUUUUACUAUUUAGUUAUUAAAAUGAUGUAUUAUUUAAAAUAAAUGGUACAGAGGCUUUCAUGGUGGCUAUUUCAUAGUGGUGGUAUGCUGGGGAACCUUGGAUGGUGGCGGGGCGUCUAUCUUAGGCUGGUGGGGCCUUUGGUCAUGUGAUGCCUUGGAGUGGACUUUGAGUCAUUGGUGCUUGUGGUGUUGUGCUCUCAGUCAAUCUGUGGGCGUGGGCUCCACCAGUGAUUCAUGGGUGGAGGCUACAGUAUUUAAGGUCAACCAGGGGAUGAUGUUUCCUGGACUCCUCCAGGGCUGAUCUGGGAUGACACUGGUUGCCUGUUUUGCUUUGAGGUUCUCUGUUUGGGGUGGAUCUGGAGGUUCCAGGUUUCACACCUCCUUUUUACAUUCAGUAAAUCAUAUUCUACACUAUUGUAGAGUAAUAACUACUUUUAAAUAUAUAUAUACAUCAACUUAAAUAAAAGUCAGUAAAACUAUUGACGGUACAUUUUUACAAAAAAGUUAUGAUAUGUAAUAUACUAACUAUAUGUAGUAUUUUCACCUCUAUUAACAAUACAAUGUCACCACAACAAAAUUGAAAGAUAGUCUUUUUUGUUACUGCCCUCAAGUGGUCAGUUUUCUUUUUUACAACGUCAUUGGUUGAAUAAUAUUUAAAUCAUGG
Molecule: long non-coding RNA, 1415 nt
Organism: Oryzias melastigma (Indian medaka)
Lineage: Eukaryota; Metazoa; Chordata; Actinopteri; Beloniformes; Adrianichthyidae
Exons: 3
Source: RefSeq, a predicted model, not a curated record